This 898-nucleotide ribosomal RNA is filed under the name uncultured bacterium. RNAcentral describes it as "bacterial SSU rRNA". It matches the Rfam family "Bacterial small subunit ribosomal RNA", at positions 1 to 900 of the family's 1533-position model. The record is from RNAcentral.
CCCUUAGAGUUUGAUCCUGGCUCAGGAUGAACGCUGGCGGCGUGCCUAAUACAUGCAAGUCGAACGAAUCUCUUCGGAGGUGAGUGGCGAACGGGUGAGUAAUACAUAGGUAACCUGCCCCUGUGCGGGGGAUAACAGGAGGAAACUCCUGCUAAUACCGCAUAGCCAUGAGCACCGCAUGGAGCUCAUGCCAAAUAUCCUUUCGGGGAUAGCGCAGGGAUGGACCUAUGGCGCAUUAGCUUGUUGGCGGGGCAACGGCCCACCAAGGCAACGAUGCGUAGCCGGCCUGAGAGGGCGGACGGCCACAUUGGGACUGAGACACGGCCCAGACUCCUACGGGAGGCAGCAGUAGGGAAUUUUCGGCAAUGGGGGAAACCCUGACCGAGCAACGCCGCGUGAGCGAAGAAGGCCUUCGGGUCGUAAAGCUCUGUUGUAAAGGAAGAACGGCGCAUACAGGAAAUGGUAUGCGAGUGACGGUACUUUACCAGAAAGCCACGGCUAACUACGUGCCAGCAGCCGCGGUAAUACGUAGGUGGCGAGCGUUAUCCGGAAUCAUUGGGCGUAAAGAGGGAGCAGGCGGCCGCAAGGGUCUGUGGUGAAAGACCGAAGCUAAACUUCGGUAAGCCAUGGAAACCGGGCGGCUAGAGUGCGGAAGAGGAUCGUGGAAUUCCAUGUGUAGCGGUGAAAUGCGUAGAUAUAUGGAGGAACACCAGUGGCGAAGGCGACGGUCUGGGCCGCAACUGACGCUCAUUCCCGAAAGCGUGGGGAGCAAAUAGGAUUAGAUACCCUAGUAGUCCACGCCGUAAACGAUGGUCACUAAGUGUCGGGGGUCAAACCCCGGUGCUGCAGUCAACGCAAUAAGUGACCCGCCUGAGUAGUACGUUCGCAAGAAUGAAAC